Long non-coding RNA from Oncorhynchus tshawytscha (Chinook salmon), 975 nucleotides. The record is from Ensembl. Lineage: Eukaryota; Metazoa; Chordata; Actinopteri; Salmoniformes; Salmonidae.
UCAUUGGCAGCAGAGAACUGGAAGCAGAGGUGGCCAAAGAAAGAAUUGGUUUUAGGGUUGACCAGAGAGAUAUACCUGCUGGAGCAUGUGCUACAGAUCUCGUAUCAUGAAAAAACUUGCAUUGGGAACUAAAAUAUGUUCCCCAUGACGGAACCCCCUUCCUGGUGGUCGGGAGGAAAACCUACGCCUGCCACCAGGGCGAGGAUAAACAUGCGAGUGAUAAGAAGAGGGAAGCAGAAAUGUGUCUGGACUGUGCCUACCUGAAGCCUACCUGGACUGUGGCUGAGGACCCUGGGCAUGCCUACCCAUAGCCCCUCCCCACACUCCCUAGCAUGCUUGUACCUAAGCUAAAUACUGAGUAUUCCAUCUCACCCUCUUCCUCUCCUCUUCUGUCCUCUCCUCCCCUAAGCCCAGUCCUGGGCACAAACUAUUUUAUAUUGAAUUUAUAUUGAGCAUGCUUUUUUGUCCAGGACUAGGUGUAAUCUGAGUCUGGGAAACCAGCCCAUACUCUAGACAAUGAGAUUAUUCCAGAAUACUAUCAAAAUAAAGAUUGUUUUCUAUGAUUGUUCUAUGGUACAUUUAACAUUUCCAUUCUACAAUAUGGCCUUUGACAAAGAAAACUCUCUCAAAAUCCUAUUGUAUUUUUUUAACCUUUAUUUAACUAGGCAAGUCAGUUAAGAACAAAUUCUUAUUUUCAAUGACAGCCUAGAAACAGUGGGUUAACUGCCUGUUCAGGGGCAGAACGACAGAUUUGUACCUUGUCAGCUCGGGGGUUUGCACUUGCAACCUUCCGGUUAUAAGUCCAACGCUCGAACCACUAGGCUACGCUGCCGCCCCGGUAUGGUUUGUCUCAGAACAGGAGGCGGUGGAGAAAAGCACAAAACCAAGAGGCUGAGAGAGAACAAGGUAAAACAAGGUAAGGAUAAUAUAUAAAAAAUGAACUUCAGUGGGAGUUAACACACAUACACACAUCUA